Molecule: ribosomal RNA, 253 nt
Filed under: uncultured bacterium
Lineage: Bacteria
Description: partial 16S ribosomal RNA
Rfam family: Bacterial small subunit ribosomal RNA
Source: RNAcentral
UACGUAGGGUGCAAGCGUUAAUCGGAAUUACUGGGCGUAAAGAGCUUGUAGGCGGUUUGUCGCGUCUGCUGUGAAAUUUCGGGGCUCAACCCCGAACUUGCAGUGGGUACGGGCAGACUAGAGUGCGGUAGGGGAGACUGGAAUUCCUGGUGUAGCGGUGAAAUGCGCAGAUAUCAGGAGGAACACCGGUGGCGAAGGCGGGUCUCUGGGCCGUAACUGACGCUGAGGAGCGAAAGCGUGGGGAGCAAACAGG